UCUACGGGUGGCUGCAGUGGGGAAUAUUGCGCAAUGGGCGAAAGCCUGACGCAGCGACGCCGCGUGAGGGAUGAAGGUUCUCGGAUCGUAAACCUCUGUCAGAAGGGAAGAAAUUAUAUCAUGCUAAUCAGUGGUGUAUUGACGGUACCUUCAAAGGAAGCAUCGGCUAACUCCGUGCCAGCAGCCGCGGUAAUACGGAGGAUGCGAGCGUUAUCCGGAUUUAUUGGGUUUAAAGGGUGCGCAGGCGGAAGAUCAAGUCAGCGGUAAAAUUGAGAGGCUCAACCUCUUCGAGCCGUUGAAACUGGUUUUCUUGAGUGAGUGAGAAGUAUGCGGAAUGCGUGGUGUAGCGGUGAAAUGCAUAGAUAUCACGCAGAACUCCGAUUGCGAAGGCAGCAUACCUGCGCUCAACUGACGCUCAUGCACGAAAGUGUGGGUAUCGAACAGGAUUAGAUACCCUUGUAGUC
This 464-nucleotide ribosomal RNA is filed under the name uncultured bacterium. RNAcentral describes it as "partial 16S ribosomal RNA". It matches the Rfam family "Bacterial small subunit ribosomal RNA", at positions 338 to 795 of the family's 1533-position model. The record is from RNAcentral.